Molecule: long non-coding RNA, 435 nt
Filed under: Pogona vitticeps (central bearded dragon)
Lineage: Eukaryota; Metazoa; Chordata; Lepidosauria; Squamata; Agamidae
Description: lncRNA (ENSPVIG00000007726.1)
Source: RNAcentral
AAGAGUGGGAUAAAAACCAACCUAAUAAUCAUUUCACUGCUAUCACCAUCAUAAAACAUAGUUAAGAUUUUAAUCUCAGAGUCAGUCUGAGCAAUGUUUAGGUAAGCAAUAAUGCAGAGAACCCAUUUUCUUUUCUCUUUCGGAAAUCAGGUGGAUCUGAUUCUUUAGCGUGAAGUAUCUGAGGACCACGUAGUGUCUGGUUGGAAAAAAAAACACAGGCAUUAUAGACAGCAGAACAGCACCUGGUCUUCCAUGGAAAGCAAAAGCAAAAUUAAAAAUGUCUCCUUGGAUCAGCCUGGAACUAAAACUGGAGGAGAACAGAUAAUAUCUUCACUAAGAAGACAAACAUGUUGACAAAUACAUGAACACAGAAGAAUUGCAUUAUUUUAAUGCUGACAGUAAAGACAGUGUAGUUGUUAAAAAUUAGGUAUACCU